RNAcentral lists this long non-coding RNA (8536 nucleotides) under Setaria viridis. RNAcentral describes it as "long non-coding RNA (SVIR_LNC011470)". Lineage: Eukaryota; Viridiplantae; Streptophyta; Magnoliopsida; Poales; Poaceae. The record is from RNAcentral.
CCCAGCAAGGACACCAGCACCAGCGACAGCACGGAGGAUGUUCGCGCCAGCACCCUUGAAGAGGGACUUGGGGCCCUCCUUUGCGACAAUCUGCUUGAAAGCAUCCAAGGAACUGUUGUACUUGACAGCCUCACCAGAUGUCAUCAUCAUGCGACGCCGAACGGUAUCAAUAGGGUACGAGGCAAGGCCAGCACCCAUUGUUAUGCACCAGCCGAGAAAGAAGCUGGCCAAGAAGUUGUCCUGCAGAAUACACCAGCACAAAUGAGUAUACAUCAUAUCAAAUUUCAGCAAAAGACCCCCAAUGCAUUUCAGGCACAAGGGAAAGAGCUACAAAUCAAUCAACAAAGAGAUAAUGAUUACACAGGAAAAUGUGACAAAAAAUUAGAAUAUGAGUAGCAGUGUCAAUUCAAUGCAGGGUGGUCCUAAUGUAAGUGUACCACUCAAGGAAAUAGCACAAACACUGUAUAAGUUACUGACCUGCAGGGAACCAACAAGAAGCACUGGCUUGAGCGAGUCGUACAUUCCAAAGUAAAGACCACGGUAGACGAUGAUUCCCACACAAGAGAUACUGAAUCCACGGUAGAGGCCAGCAAUCCCAUCACUGGCAAGGGUCUUGCGGUAAACAUCAACGAGUCCAUUGAACUGCCUCUCACCACCCCCCUUCUUUGCAACCUUGGCAUCAUUGGCCAAACGCGUACGAGCAUAGUCCAGAGAGUAAACAAAGAAGAGAGAGCAAGCACCAGCAGCUCCUCCAGAAGCAAGGUUUCCAGCAAACCACUUCCAGUAUCCAUCCUUGUCCUUCUUGAAGUUGAACAUGCGCUUGAAGUGGUCCUUGAAUGCAAAGUUCAAUGCCUGAAGCAGGAUGGAACCUUUAGGUUUAGCUAAUGCAAACAUAUGAAUUAUGAUCACAAAACAUUAGAAAAUAAGGGUUGGACAAGAUAGAAUGCAUGACCUGUGUGGGGAAGUAACGGAUGACAUUAGCUGUGUUUCCUCUCCACAGUGAGAUGACACCCUCAUCUUUCAUCGUCCGGGCAAAGCAGUCCCCAAUACCCUUGUAAGGUUCAGAAAGCCUACCACUUUUGAUCAUCUCAUCCUGGUUCUGAAUCAACAGCUUGACACGCUCAAUGGGGGCAGCAGCUGUCUUGGAAACAGCAGCAGAAACUCCACCCAUCAGAAAGUCAACCAUGAAUCCAGAAAAACUUUUCUCUUUGGGGGCAGAAGCGAAGAAAGGGGAGGACGUCAUGACUGAUGGGAGCCCAACAGUUGCAUCCAUCCCAUGAUAUGACCUCAGGGGCACAUUGUAAGCAGAAUGCACAUUGCUGAAUACAGGGUUAUUCAUGGCAGAAUAAGAAGAGAUUCUACUCAACAACACGGGCUGCCCAUGGACCCUCUGGAUCCCAGAUGAAGAACGUAGUUCAUGCUCCAUUUUUCACAAGCCAGAAGCAACCUGUCAAACAGCAGCACAGAACAGCUGGGUUAGACUGCAAGCUAAUCCAGCAAAAUAGCAACAAGAACACAGUAACACACAAUACACUACAAACAUAACAGCGUAUACCAGGUGCAUCGAGGUAAUAAUAAAAACAUAAGAAAGGUUCGCAUUCAAAUAUACAAUUAACUUAUGAAACUAUCAAACAAGUAAUUACACUAAUGCAGGGUAGAUAUAAAUGAUCCAAAGUGGAUACACGUACUUCUAAUGGCACCCAAAAGCAUGAACAAAUAUUUUGGUUUCAAUUGCAUUCCUCCUAACAAAAGAGGAAACAGCAAAAGAAAAAAUAUAGGAGUGGGAUGUUCUAAAAGGAGCAGGAGCACAUGCAAAUAGAACAAAGCACCCCUGGCGCAUCAAGAUAAAAUCACUGCCAUUUGUCUAGGAUGCCAGGCUGCUGAACAUGAGGUCAUAAAUAUUAACAUCCAAAUAGCUGCAUAGCAAUGAGCAUUUGAAGCUCAAUAGGGAAAACAAAGCACAAUAGCAUUAUUGAUCCUUAUCUUGUAAGGAAGCUUAAACUAAACAUCUAAACGACGAAUAAGAGAAUGCCACAUUACUCAGAAAUAUGUCAAACGUUGGAUGGUCAUCUGGUGGUUUAGGUCCUCCAAACUAACAUGUAUUCAGAAGAAUAUAGAAUACUGGUCAUGUGUCCUCUUCGGUCAAAGAAUUAAAAGGUAGAUUUUCUUCUCCUAAGUCCUAAUGCUCCUCACACACAGCUUUAUUUCUUUCAUCCCCCGAACCAACUGAGCACAGUCAUCUUUCUUCUCCCUACCUUGAGAAAUAGACAAGAUCACAUCCAUCUACAUGUAAGAUUUACUGUCCUUUUCUCCCUUCUCUCCUUAAAUUCCAUAUGAAUACCAAACUAUGCACACAUCAGUUAUUUUCAUGCAGGAUGCAGCAAUGUGUGGGGGUAAUGUAAGUUCUAUUGUCAAAACAGCACGCCGGUUGUUUAGAGGCCUGAACAUAGAUAGCUUUCUUCAAGUCAGGGCAGCAUGUCAGGCACUCAACAAACAUGAACAUACACAAUGUAUCGGUAUCCUAAACUCCAAAAGAAACCACAACUCAAAUGGGACCAAAACCAGAGGCUGAUACCCAGGGGCGGACCCAAUAACUGUUGCAAAAAGAUCGAAUUUAGUAGGUAAAAUCAUGGUCAGAUCCGAAUACAAAUACCAUACGUUAGGGGUUUGGGUGUUUGAUUUCGCGCAGCAGGAUGGGAAGGGAGGGGAAUAGGCAGGCAUACCCCUGUCGGAUGUUCGUCGCCGGCGAAGCGCCCGUCGCUCGACGAACAACGGGCAGCGCAACUCGCCCUGUCGUCGCCGCUAGGAAAGGAAGACCGAGGCCGAGAGAGAGAACAGAUAAGUCGUAGGAAGGGAGGUGUGACGACCCUAGACUACGCGGCGGCACGCCAGCGAGCUUUGGUCGGAGAAUCGCCGCUGCCGGCGGCUUGGGGAAGAAGAUGAGCAGGAAGGGUUAGGUUUUGGUACUCCGUUCAUUCAUGCCCCUUCCCUACACGGGUUGGGUUCUUAUCCACGCCACAGGCCGGCGUGGUGGCCCAAUGGGCUUAGCCCAGUUCUUGACAUGGUGUCAAAAAGAAACUAGCUGAUCUCAUGCCAUACUUGAAACUCUAAUGUAACAAUGCUUACAACAAUGCUUAGUGACCGAGCAUUCUAACAUCACUGCGUGCCAAGACAGGAACGAGUUACCAUGUGUUGUUCUUUAUGUGCCCAUACGAUGAGGCAUGCUUUACUUUUUAAUCAAGAAAAAAUUGGAAAUUUCAAGAGCAUAUUAACAACUCUAGACAUUAGUGCACAGGUGAUAAAGUUGGGUGUUAAUUAACACUGUUGCAUAUAAAAUUGUAAAUGCUGAAGAUAUAAAAACAGUUAGGUCGCACUUAUUGUUUCGUCGUUUUGCAAAAGAUCUUCUUGGAUACAACUAGACUGCUAGCGGAACAAACAGAUAAUCUUCCUGAUGAGAUCUGGAAUUAUGUGAAGGAUUGUAAAGUUGUUCAGACAGCAAUUCUGUUGAUGGCAGCGCAAAAACAUAUCCGUGGGGGAUCUUCCUACAAGAGAAAUGAUGAUCCUAAGUUAGAUGGGUUCACUACUAUCAAUAAUCGCAUCCGUCACUCCAUGACCUCAGAAUUGGGGAUGUGUCAAAAUGAAGAGAAACUACAGCAGCUGUGGUCGAAGUUCAAAGUUAUGUUAUCCUCAUCAUUGCUUAUUGAUAUAAUUUCCCAAGCUGGUGAAACUAUUGGUGAUUAUACACGGGAUCAUCCUGAGGUACCACUUUUUCUGAUAGAUUGCAAUUUUUUUAUCUAUAUGCUGUUCUGUUACAGCACUGCUAUAGAUUAGGAAUUAUAUAAAAUAUAGAAUGGAUAUACAAACAUUUUUUUCAUGAAAUGACAACUAAAUAAUUAGAGAAGAAAAAAAAGCGAUCAGGGUCUUUUUACUGUAUCCUAUGACAUAUAGAUAUUGUCCUUUUUUCUUUCAACUUCUCUCCUUUCAUAUUUUUUUUGUCAUGCAGGCUUCAGAUGCGGAUAUUUUUGAACAAGUUUCAUCGAUUCUCAAGUCUUAUGGAUUUAAUCCCAAUGGACAAGACAUCGACAUUAAGAAUCUGUACCUUUUUACAUCCCUUUUGCAUUGCUUCAAUGAUCGUAGAUUUGUAUGAAAUACAUGACUAUUAUGUUCGUUUAAUGAUUUUUUUCUAUUUGUUGCUGAAGCUGCCCUUAUAAAUUUCGAAUGCCGAGUGGAGAGCUAUUUGACCAAUAUGGUGGGUGUGGAUGUGGUUAUGUUGGCCUGGGUCAUUCUUUUAUAACUUUAGAAUAUAAACCCUGUUUUAUUUGUCAUGGAAAACAGGGAGCUUGGUUGCAACCAAGGCAACUACAGGUGUACCUGAUCUGCUUGCUGCAGAAAAAAAAGGUAAGAUGCAUUUCUUACAUUACUGCAUGUUAGUUCUUGUUUCAUACAAAGAUUGCUUUCUAUGCUUAUUUUUAGGGCACUGGAAACUACUACAACCUAUUGCGACCGACUUAAUUUUUAUGUGUUUCUUCCCUGUUUAAAACAUUCUGUUCUUUCCAAAAUUUUCUAUUGUAGAGCAUCACCCUAGAACUUAUUGCUAUGUGAAUAAAUUGCAAUGCAAUUCCCUAGGUCUCAAUGCUGCAUAUAAAGAAUUCUUUUUGAGUGGGUGGAGGGUCUUCUUUGAUAAUUAUAGCCCUAGAGAAGAUCUGUGUGCAUUUCUCUUCGUUGCUUUGGUAAUUAUAGUUAAAAAUGCAAAUUGCAAUUAUGCCAUAGUCUAUCUGCAGUGCAAUUACAACCAAUCUGUGAUGGAAUUCUGUAUGGUCAUGCAUAAUCCAUCUGUGUUUUUGUUCUUAUAACUCAAGAAAGAACACUAGUUAUAUUUGUAGUUUAUGUUGCUGUAAUGAUUUAGAACUGCGAACCCUUUUUACCUGGCAUCCAUGUUUGUCUUAUUUACAGCCACUAGUUCUCAUUUUUACGUCAUAAUUACAAAUAUGGGUAGUCAUAAUAUUUACGUCAAAUCAUAUUGCAGAAUUUCAUAUUAGUUCUCAUUUUUACCAUAUUGCUUUGCAAACAGUGUGCCUCUAAAAAUCAAAUGGCCCAUAUGCCGCAACCCUGUAAUAUUUCAAGUAUGAUAUGUCUUCCCAAAGGAAAAGAACAUAGAUGGAACCUGGAGUUAUUUCCAUCAAGCUCCUACUCACAAAAGAGUGAAUUUACUAGACAAAAGUAAACCAAAGAAAUGCAAAUAGCCAACUUAGAACAGCUCAUAUUCACUGGGAAGAAUUGUCUUCUUAAUAAUACCUCUAAGCUGUUUAGAUUGGAAAGCAGCAUCCAAUAUCAUACUGGCAACUGGGCCACUUGUUAAUGAUUCAUUAUUGUUGUUUUCUGGUUUGCGUGAUCUUUGACUCUUUUUGCCAUCUUUGCAAUGGAUAAGUAUGAUAUAUGUCAAGCUGGUGCUUUCUUUAUGUAAGUUCUGUUUUGCUUUACUAAGCUUUCAUCUUCUUUCCUGACCUUCAAAAAAUAGCAAAAGCAAGUUUCAUGUGCUAUGUUUCUGCCCAUGCAGCUUGCUGGUUCAGCAGCCUACUAUGUUGCUUAAGCAUGUUAGCCAAGUACUGCAGUUUAGUAACAUGUCAUCCAACUCAAAAAACUAUAUUACAAGUAGCUUAAGUAAUACUCCACUGAUGCAAAUAUCAUGUACCAUCUCAAGUCAGUCCUGAUGGUCGUUAUGCUGCAAUAUGCAGUGUUUUGGGAUUACUAGUUUGAAGUGAAAAUGGGUUGGUAGAGAGCUGUAUGUUUAUAUAAAAGCCCAACUGAUGCCUAAAUCUGCAUUUUCCAUAUGACCCAGGAUGUUGGAAAGAAACUGACUAAAAGAUUGAAGCACAAAUACACAUGGCUCAGUUUCUUCCCGUAUUGGAGAUCAGUUUUAGCAUCCCAAUUUCCUGUGAAGGUGUUUCCAGGCCAUGCAAGAAGCGAUACUAAGCAUGUCCUAGAUCUUGGACAAAUUGGCAGAUCUUGGAGUUACUAAACGGAUGAAGUAUCUUCACCAAUUCCAAAUGACCUUGGUCUUUUGGGAAGAAUUGCACAGCCAGGAAACUAUCAACCCAGAAGGCAUUUUGGUACAGCAUUUGCUAUCCUGAAGGUGUUAAGGAAAGCCUGAGUUAAAAAGUAUGCUAAGUGCUCUGGUAUUCUAGUCAAAGUUUCUGAACGUGUGGAGACUUUUUGUGUGCUGCUGCACCUAAUACAAGGGAACAAAUAGAUGGUACCUCAGUAGAACUUGAACAUAUGGUUUUAUCAAGGAUUGCCAUGUACGAUGUUUAAGCUAUACGAAAUCUAUGUGAUAUACGUGUUCUUGUUCAUGCAGGUGAUGGGAGAGUUUCCCACUUACUGCUGUUUCCCUGCUAUUCAAGCUCAGUUAUUCAAGCUAAGCUAUUCAAGCUGGGAGGUGCUGUACAAGCAUUCAAAACUACCAUCAUGUUUGUUGCUCAUCAUAUAUAUUCUUAGCCUCCGUCAGAACUGUACUUCUUGCCUAAGGCAAUCAUCUGGAGCUUGUCGCGACGGCACGGAGGAUGUUCGCACCAGCACUCUUGAAGAGGGACUUGGUAGAUGGUACCCUCCUUAGCAAGGAGCGGGGACCGAGUUCCACUGCAGUCGCUAUAGGGACUGCAAGUUAAGCGGUCGACAGCUGAGAGGGGGAAUACUGUUAAGCACUGUGCUGAGAGAGGGAAUACUGUUCGAACUGUUCAUGUUUUCACUGUGCGUCACUGUUUAGUUACUGUAUCAUUGCAUCUGGACCGUUCGCAGGCAGAUCGGACGGCCAAAAUCACGUGCAGUCACUAUCUUGCAGUCGCAGUAGCGACUGCACGCGAUCUCCGUCCAGCGGCGAUGGAUGAAUGCUAAGGUUUUCCCCUCUCGUGUCGUGAGUCGUGAGUUGUCUGACCUGGGUUGGGCUGUAUCUAACAUGGGCUGUGAGUAUCUGGUUAUGACUAACCUAUUUCUCCAUGAAGGGCUUCAUUCUGUAAAUUGAUCACAAGAACAGUUCAGGCAGGGUCGACUGUACGUUCAUAAGAGCCGUAAUUCUAACACAUGAUCGGAUGAGGGUUUGUGUAGCGCUCGACGAACCCUUUUCACGACCAAAACUAAACAAUUGCCGCACAAGAUCACACAAAUAUACCUUUAUGAAACAAAGGGUGCUGGGAUUCUGAAACCUACCUAGUUACCAUUAGACUAUUCGAGCAACCUUUUGCACGCGCUAAACCUAAUUAAACUGAUACAGGCAAACAUCUCCAAAAGACUAGAACACGGAAACACAUUCGAUGGGCAACGUCUACCAGGGUUUAAGGUCUGCAAGACUGCAAUUUCUAACUUCAUUUAUUUCAAUCUCCGACGCAAAAAGAGAAGCGGGAUCAACCGCAUUACAAACCAAGCCACCAAACCUCUGCGCGUGCUAAAUUUAAAAAUAGCGUCCGUGGUCCGUAUGUAUGUUAUUCAAAGGCACCUAAAACAUCCUGUUUGUUGUUCAUCGUCAUCAUCAUCUAAUCUUAGCCGCCGCCAGACCCGUACUUCUUGCCAAAGACGAUCACCUGGAGCUUGUCGUAUCCAGCAAGGACACCAGCACCAGCAACAGCACGGAGGAUGUUUGCACCAGCACCCUUGAAGAGGGACUUGGUACCUUCCUUUGCGACAAUCUGCUUGAAAGCAUCCAAGGAACUCUUGUACUUGACAGCCUCACCAGAUGUCAUCAUCAUGCGGCGCCGAACAGUAUCAAUGGGGUACGAGGCAAGACCAGCACCAAUGGUUAUGCCCCAACCGAGCAAGAAGCUGGCGAAGAAGUUAUCCUGCAAAACACACAAGUGAGCAUUAAAUAUUUAAGGUAGAAAGGACAUGUGAAUCAAUUGGGACAACAACAUGAUUAUGCAGGAAAAACUGUCCUAAAGAUUGGGCAUGGGAUAAGCAGUUCUGACUUCAAUGGGUCAGCACUAAUAUCUGGGGAUAUCUAACCAGGAAAUAACCCAAACAAUGUCCAGGUUACUGACCUGCAGGGAACCAACAAGAAGCACUGGCUUGAGCGAGUCGUACAUUCCAAAGUAAAGACCACGGUAGACGAUGAUUCCCACACAAGAGAUACUGAAUCCACGGUAGAGGCCAGCGAUACCAUCACUGGCAAGGGUCUUGCGGUAAACAUCAACGAGUCCAUUGAACUGCCUCUCACCACCCCCCUUCUUUGCAACCUUGGCAUCAUUGGCCAAACGCGUACGAGCAUAGUCCAGAGAGUAAACAAAGAAGAGAGAGCAAGCACCAGCAGCUCCUCCAGAAGCAAGGUUUCCAGCAAACCACUUCCAGUAUCCAUCCUUGUCCUUCUUGAAGUUGAACAUGCGCUUGAAGUGGUCCUUGAAUGCAAAGUUCAAUGCCUGAAGCAGGAUGGAACCUUUAGGUUUAGCUAAUGCAAACAUAUAAAUUAUGAUCACAAAACAUUAGAAAAUAAGGGUUGGAUAGGAUAGGAUGUGGGACCUGUGUGGGGAAGUAACGGAUGACAUUAGCUGUG